Kogia breviceps (pygmy sperm whale) is the source of this 2809-nucleotide non-coding RNA. The record is from RefSeq and is a predicted model, not a curated record. NCBI's taxonomy places the organism in Eukaryota, Metazoa, Chordata, Mammalia, Artiodactyla, Physeteridae.
CCUUAUGAAAUAGUCAAAGAGGCUCUCCAUGCACCAGAACAAUACAAACCAAAGCAGGGGGAGAUUGAUCUUGGUACUGCCUACAAACGGCAUCUUAAUUCUUGUAAAGUGCAGCGUGUGGCAAUAGCUCGGCCUUUGGAGAGACAAGUUAAAAAAGGGAAGUUGGAUACUGUCCCAACCUAUAAAGGUUUCAAGACAUCUGCAUAGUGUACCCUGAGUCAAGUUUUGGUUGGCAGUGUCAGGAUGGCUGCACUGCUCCUCGCUGUGUUCAAGUUAGAAAGAGGCAUUGUGGUGUGACAAGUAAAGGCUCUGUGGCUUGGGAAUCAAAGCACCUGUGCUCAAGUUCCAAUGACACCGGUUUCUACUUGUGCCAUCCUAGGGGUAUGUGUUAGCAGCUCUGAAACUACGUGUAUAAUAAGGUCAAACCAAGAAAAUAUAUUGCAGAUAAUGAAAGCCAGGCUUCUCCCUGUCAGAGAAAGAAGUUGACAAACAAGAAAAAGUUCUCUGAGAGCAAGGGCAAUAUGCCAUUCCCCCAGGAUGCCUGGAUCAGUCAGGGUCACAAGCCUGUCCAGAGCGAUUGUCUCCUUUUCACAGACUAAACAACACCAAGUUGCACCCACAUCAAAGCAGCUAAUCUGAUGUCCCAAGAUACCACAUCCGUUCAGAACGGCCCUGCGGACAAGACCCUGACAAGGUUGGCUCCAUGCGGUCCGGUUUGCACAAUGCUUCGGGGUGGUCACAGUACUUGAGAGGGGUACGUACUAUCACAGGAAGGCCCCAGGCAGUGCCGCUAGGAAGAGAGUUUCUUCCCCGGUUUGCGGCGUCUCUCAGCCACCGUCUUGCAGCUCCUUGUGUGGACACAGUCCACCUUCCGAGACUGGAAGCCCUGACCACAGGCUGACGUACAGGAUCUCCAAGGACCUGCGUGCCAACAUGCGUCCCAAGCCCCCGACGAGCAGUUCCUCCAAAAGGUGGGUCUGAAAUGAGAAAAACAAACAAAAAAGUGGACAACAGGAGAAAGUGGGGUGUCACUUCUUGCUGGGAUCAAGCCUUUUACUGUGCUGUACUUUCCGUAUAGCAAAGGCUUGACAAUUUGGACCUUAUUCAACAGGAAACUCAUCUGCAUUGCUCCUGGCUAACUAAGCAAAGUGGUGGAGGAAUCACAACCUCAGUAGAGGCAAGCAAACCACGUGUUUCCACGAGCCUCCGGCACCACAUCAAGACACGCACCUCAAAAGACACAGUCUCCUGAUGAGCUGGAGCAGAUCGAUUUAGGCAAGGAAGAGAAGAAUGACACAUUUGUUAACAAACUUGGGUAUGAACCUCAGGGGGCGAGAAGUUGAGUUGCUUUGGACAAGAGGGCAGAGACUGAGUACUCUUCAGCCAUCCCUAUGCAGAGAUCAGCUUUUCUACUGAGAACAGUUGAAGAAAUAGUCCAAGAAUACUCAAAGAAGACCUUUGAUAAGAUGCCAAAUUUUUCUAUAAGACAGGGCCAGUGGGAAGUCAGAAGAAGACUAUGUAGCUUCCUAAACAUGAAAGAUGAGAGAGGCACAAGGAGCUAGAGACCAAGGCAGAUGUUGAAACCCAAGAGGCUGGUCAUUGAGGAUGCAGCGAAAGAGUGCAAGCAAUACUCAGGAUGUGGAGGAGGAAGGAAGAGCCAUAGAGUGAGCAUCUUCUAUGACCCAGGCUGCUUAAGUCCUUCACACUAAGCCAAUUAAUCAAAACCUCCCCCAAACAAGAUAACCUACAGACUGGGAGAAAAUACUUGCAGAUGAUGUGACCGACAAAGGCUUGAUCUCCAAGAUAUACAAGCAGCUCAUACAACUCAACAACAACAACAAAAAACAGACAACCCUAUCCAAAAAUGGGCAGAAGACCUAAAUAGACAUAUGUCAGAAGAAGAAAUACAGAUAGCCAAUAGGCACAUGAAAAGAUGCUCAACAUCGCUAAUUAUUAGAGAAAUGCAAAUCAAAACUAUAAUGAGGUACCACCUCACACCAGUCAGGAUGGCCAUCAUUAAAACGUCUACAAAUAACAAAUGCUGGAGAGGGUGCAGAGAAAAGGGAACACUCUUACAUUGUUCAUGGGAAUGUGAGGUGGUGCAGCCAUUGUGGAAGACAGUAUGGCGGUUCCUCAGAAAACUAAAAAUAGAAUUACCAUAUGAUCCAGCAAUCCCACUCCCAGGCAUAUAUCUGGAGAAAACUAUAAUUCAAAAAGAUACAUGCACCCCUAUGUUCAGGGCAUCACUAUUCACAAUAGCCAAGACAUGUAACAACCUAAAUGUCCACUAACAGAUGAAUGGAUAAAGAAGAUGUGGUACCUAUAUACAAUGGAAAACUACACAGCCAUAAGAAAGAAUGAAAUAAUGCCAUUUGCAGCAACAUGGAUGCAACUAGAGAUUAUCAUACUAAGUGAAGUUAAGUCAGAAAGAGAAAGACAAAUACCAUACGAUAUCACUUAUGUGUGAAAUCUAAAAUAUGACACAGAUGAACCUGUUUAUGAAACAGAAACAGAAUCAUGGGCAUAAGAGAAUAGACUGGUGGUUGCCAAGGGGGAGGAGGCUGGGGGAGAGAUGGAGUAGAAGGCUGGGGCGAGCCGAUGUACGUUUUAUAUAUAAUGGGGAGACAGUAAGGUCCUACUGGAUAGCACAGAGAACUAUAUUCAAUACUCUAUGGUAAGCCAUAAUGGAAAAGAAUAUUUUUAAAAAAGAAUGUGUAUAUGUGUAUAACUGAAUCACUUCGUUGUACAGCAGAAAAUAAGACAACAUUGUAAAUCAACUCUACUUCAAUUAAAAAAAAAAACAAACAAA